Molecule: ribosomal RNA, 519 nt
Filed under: Stegopoma bathyale
Lineage: Eukaryota; Metazoa; Cnidaria; Hydrozoa; Leptothecata; Tiarannidae
Description: partial 16S ribosomal RNA
Rfam family: Bacterial large subunit ribosomal RNA
Source: RNAcentral
AAAUUCAUAAAAGUUAUUUAAUAAAGUUUAAAGGACGCAGUAACCUUGACUGUGAUAAUGUAGCAUAAUCACUCGCCAUUUAAUUGAUGGAUAGUAUGAAUGGUUGAACGAAUAUUCCACUGUCUUAAAAAGAAAUACCAAAAAAUUAAAAUAAUAGUUAAGAUGCUAUUUAAAAUUGUAAGACGAAAAGACCCUAUAGAGCUUAACUAUAAUCUCUUUUAUCAAUAGAAAAAAAACUUUCAAAAAUAAAGAGAUUGGUAGUUUAGUUGGGGCGACUAUCUUUUAUAUAUAACAAAGAGAAGCAAAGUUAAUAAAAAACUUAUUGUAUAAUAAAUUAAUUUAACAAUUACAAAAGUAGGCUAUAAUGACCCGUUACAUACUAGUAAAAAUUAUAACGAUCAAUAAAUAAAAGCUACCUUAGGGAUAACAGGAUAAUUUCAUUUUAGAGAUCAUAUCGAAAAUGAAGUUUGUCACCUCUAUGUUGAAUUAAGAUAUCCUGACAAUGCAGAAGUUGUCAAA